RNAcentral lists this ribosomal RNA (452 nucleotides) under uncultured bacterium. RNAcentral describes it as "bacterial SSU rRNA". It matches the Rfam family "Bacterial small subunit ribosomal RNA", at positions 30 to 527 of the family's 1533-position model. The record is from RNAcentral.
AUUGAACGCUGGCGGCAUGCCUAACACAUGCAAGUCGAACGAGACCUUCGGGUCUAGUGGCGCACGGGUGCGUAACGCGUGGGAACCUGCCUUUAGGUUCGGAAUAACUCAGAGAAAUUUGAGCUAAUACCGGAUAAUGUCUUCGGACCAAAGAUUUAUCGCCUUUAGAUGGGCCCGCGUUGGAUUAGCUAGUUGGUGGGGUAAAGGCCUACCAAGGCGACGAUCCAUAGCUGGUCUGAGAGGAUGAUCAGCCACACUGGGACUGAGACACGGCCCAGACUCCUACGGAGGCAGCAGUGGGGAAUAUUGGACAAUGGGCGAAAGCCUGAUCCAGCAAUGCCGCGUGAGUGAUGAAGGCCUUAGGGUUGUAAAGCUCUUUACCCGUAGAUGAUAAUGACAGUAUCGGAGAAUAAGACUCCGGCUAACUCCGUGCCAGCAGCCGCGGUAAUGUG